This 113-nucleotide non-coding RNA is filed under the name Schaalia turicensis. Its description in RNAcentral is "Actinomyces turicensis TPP sequence". It matches the Rfam family "TPP riboswitch aptamer (THI element)". From Rfam's summary of the family: Vitamin B(1) in its active form thiamin pyrophosphate (TPP) is an essential coenzyme that is synthesised by coupling of pyrimidine and thiazole moieties in bacteria. The previously detected thiamin-regulatory element, thi box was extended, resulting in a new, highly conserved RNA secondary structure, the THI element, which is widely distributed in eubacteria and also occurs in some archaea. Lineage: Bacteria; Bacillati; Actinomycetota; Actinomycetes; Actinomycetales; Actinomycetaceae. RNAcentral also lists the same sequence under 1 other name. The record is from RNAcentral.
CUUCAGUGCCACGGGAACCCGCACGCGUGCUGGGUUGAGAGGAAGGCAAAGUGCCUUCGACCGUCGAACCUGAACCGGAUAAUGCCGGCGUAGGGAGGCUUCCUACUCGUGAG